This 1480-nucleotide ribosomal RNA is filed under the name uncultured Bordetella sp. RNAcentral's name for it is "partial 16S-23S ribosomal RNA intergenic spacer". It matches the Rfam family "Bacterial small subunit ribosomal RNA". Lineage: Bacteria; Pseudomonadati; Pseudomonadota; Betaproteobacteria; Burkholderiales; Alcaligenaceae. The record is from RNAcentral.
AGUUUGAUUCUGGCUCAGAUUGAACGCUGGCGGAUGCUUUACACAUGCAAGUCGAACGGCAGCAUCGACUUCGGUCUGGUGGCGAGUGGCGAACGGGUGAGUAAUGUAUCGGAACGUGCCUAGUAGCGGGGGAUAACUACGCGAAAGCGUAGCUAAUACCGCAUACGCCCUUCGGGGGAAAGCGGGGGGACCUUCGGGCCUCGCACUAUUAGAGCGGCCGAUAUCGGAUUAGCUAGUUGGUGGGGUAACGGCUCACCAAGGCGACGAUCCGUAGCUGGUUUGAGAGGAGACCAGCCACACUGGGACUGGAGACACGGCCCAGACUCCUACGGGAGGCAGCAGUGGGGAAUUUUGGACAAUGGGGAAACCCUGAUCCAGCCAUCCCGCGUGUGCGAUGAAGGCCUUCGGGUUGUAAAGCACUUUUGGCAGGAAAAGAAACGGCACGGGAUAAUACCCCGUGCAACUGACGGUACCUGCAGAAUAAGCACCGGCUAACUACGUGCCAGCAGCCGCGGUAAUACGUAGGGUGCAAGCGUUAAUCGGAAUUACUGGGCGUAAAGCGUGCGCAGGCGGUUCGGAAAGAAAGAUGUGAAAUCCCAGAGCUUAACUUUGGAACUGCAUUUUUAACUACCGAGCUAGAGUGUGUCAGAGGGAGGUGGAAUUCCGCGUGUAGCAGUGAAAUGCGUAGAUAUGGAGGAACACCGAUGGCGAAGGCAGCCUCCUGGGAUAACACUGACGCUCAUGCACGAAAGCGUGGGGAGCAAACAGGAUUAGAUACCCUGGUAGUCCACGCCCUAAACGAUGUCAACUAGCUGUUGGGGCCUUCGGGCCUUGGUAGCGCAGCUAACGCGUGAAGUUGACCGCCUGGGGAGUACGGUCGCAAGAUUAAAACUCAAAGGAAUUGACGGGGACCCGCACAAGCGGUGGAUGAUGUGGAUUAAUUCGAUGCAACGCGAAAAACCUUACCUACCCUUGACAUGUCUGAAUCCCGAAGGAGAUUUGGGAGUGCUCGCAAGAGAACCGAACACAGGUGCUGCAUGGCUGCUGUCAGCUCGUGUCGUAGGAUGUUGGGUUAAGUCCCGCAACGAGCGCAACCCUUGUCAUUAUUGCUACGAAAGGGCACUCUAUCGAGACUGCCGGUGACAAACCGGAGGAAGGUGGGGAUGACGUCAAGUCCGCGGCUCCAGUGGGUAGGGCUUCACACGUCAUACAAUGGUCGGGACAGAGGGUCGCCAACCCGCGAGGGGGAGCCAAUCCCAGAAACCCGAUCGUAGUCCGAUCGCAGUCUGCAACUCGACUGCGUGAAGUCGGAAUCGCUAUAAUCGCGGAUCAGCAUGUCGCGGUGAAUACGUUCCUGGGUCUUGUACACACCGCCUGUCACACCAUGGGAGUGGGUUUUACCAGAAGUAGUUAGCCUAACCGUAAGGAGGGCGAUUACCACUGUAGGAUUCAUGACUGGGGUGAAGUCGUAACAAGGUAA